GGCAAUAGACAAGCGUUUAUUAAACGUAACGAAAGAUGUCAGAGUAUGUCGUAGCAAAAGACAAAACUAAAACAAUUGCCAAGAAAAGAGAGGGACGCUAGGCUUUCGUGGCAAUAGACAAUCUGUUGUUUAUUGACAAGAAAACUAUUUCGUGGCAAUAGACAGUGUGGUCGUCGCGUAACGAAAAAGCAGACGGAAAGUCGUGGCAAUAGACUCAACCUUUUUGUUAUUAUGUUUCUGUGAAUAUGGAAACAAAUAGUUAGGGAUUUGGAAUGUGGCUGUGAAUUUGAAUAAAAGUGUUUGGAUUGAAAGAAUGAGUCGCGAGGAUCACAAGAAUAAACCGACUGCCAAUUCUUGUUUGCAUACCCAGGUGUUAGGUUGUACCUCGGUGCGUUCAAAAUCAGCAGAUCUCCGUAUUUCCCUACUUCAAGAGAGCCAUGGGUUUUCUGUUUACCCAAUGCAGCAGCUAAGUUCACAGAUGGAUAACUAUCGACUAAAGCUUCAGGUAAAGUCAUCCCAAACAAAACGCAAGCGAGAUUCAUCACCAACGGCUGCAUCACAUAAUAAAAUGAAUUCAUUGUAAAGUUAACGACCAGAAAUGAUAAAAUCGUCAAACCAUGGAAAGGCAGUGAGCAUUGGGAUUGAAAUCGGAGCCAAGUGCUACCGGUACGCCUUGGUUUAUCAUCUGUCGAACUGGCGGAGGCUUCAAGCGAAGAAGAUAUGCUGUAGUAGGCAAGAUGACUGCAACAGAAGGUUUCACAGCCAUUGCAGCAAUUCCUUCUUGACUGAUCUCUUCCAGAUGGCUCAUGGCUUCGGCACCCAGAGAAGCUCCCAUCUGUGGUUAUAUAAAAUGGUUCCGCUUUAGCAAUUUAUAUUAUUUCCCUAAAUAAAUAUUUCAAUUCCAACCUCUGUUCCGCAUGUUGGCGUCAGUUCAUCUGCAUGAAAAUUAAGACGCAAACCGGCCUGCCUUCCAGCUUCUAAGAUCUUGCGUGAUUGGUCGAUAUUAAAUACACCUUUCUCGCAAAAGACAUCAA
Long non-coding RNA from Daphnia pulex (common water flea), 1034 nucleotides. RefSeq lists it as uncharacterized. The record is from RefSeq and is a predicted model, not a curated record. The transcript is spliced from 3 exons. NCBI's taxonomy places the organism in Eukaryota, Metazoa, Arthropoda, Branchiopoda, Diplostraca, Daphniidae.